Molecule: long non-coding RNA, 1214 nt
Filed under: Felis catus (domestic cat)
Lineage: Eukaryota; Metazoa; Chordata; Mammalia; Carnivora; Felidae
Description: lncRNA (ENSFCAG00000050646.1)
Source: RNAcentral
GGAUGCCCUGUCUGUCCAACAAGAGAACCUGAGAGAUAUUCAUAGUGGAAGAGAAAAUAGCGUAAGGCUGCUAACUUCGUUUAUGGUUUAAGAAGAUUCUGUCUCCUAUAAUAGUCAUGUUCUACAGCCAAUGCGACAAAUGUAAUUUCCUAUCACCAGCACACAUUACAGCCUUUAUGGAGGAUUCAACAAAAUUUUAUUUUAGACUAUGAAUAGUAAAGGGAAGUUGCAAGAAAUAGAAUACAUACCUAUUUAAACUCGAGCAAGAUCUUAAUUCCUUCUUUCUAGCCACAUUGAUUAUCCUACCCCUUAAAGGUAAUACAUACCUAAUAUAAUAUAGACAGGCAUAUAUAGUGAAAAUGUAUACUAGAACGUAAAUAUUCUGAAUCUCCUUUAUCUUGGCGGAGCAAGACAUUUUCAAGAGAGCAUUCGCAUUCUUCAAGAACUUCCAGCAACAAUCAUUCAACCCUCGACGUCAGAGACAAACGUAGCUUAUACUUCUGAAAACUAAGUGUAAAGAAAUAUGUCUAAAAUUUCGGAUUUCCAGAGUUAAACUUACAACGUCAACACCUUAGCAGGAGACACCUUACCCAUGACGGUAUGUUUGUAAAGCCAAAGAAGAAAGACAGGUUUCUGUCAAUCGCCUUAACCACAGAUGGCGAAAGUCUGGCACAACUGUAAUUCUUCUCUCUCCGGGGCCAUAACGGUGGCCUCCGUCCAGCAGAGCGGGUGUUCUCACUGAGCCUGGACGAGGCCUCAGAAUUCCUUCCAAUACAGCGACUCCAGGAGGCCGCUGUGAAGCGGUUGGUAAUGGCAUCCAAAUUACCAUCUCUGUCUGUGGUAUUUGGGUUGCAAACUACAGAACCCUCUGGCUAAUUUAUGCAAAAGGAGCUUUAGGAGUGGUUACCGACCGCUCAUAAUAUCGCGAGGACUCAGGGUACACUGUCUGAACUUAAAAGAACAGGCCGCCUAAGGCCCCGGAAGCACCAUGCCUCUGCCAUGAUCGGGAAGCUUCUGGGUCAACUCGCUUGCCAGACAGUCCGUUCUCCUGACACAAGGCCAACAACUGCUUUUGCCCAUUCGCUCCUUCGAGACUCACAUCGGCGCACCUGCCUGAUGGAUGUAAGUCACCGGAGGAGCUCUAGAGGCAGGUAGCGUGGUGAAGAGAGGAGGCGUGAGACCCACGGACUCCUGAGGACAAGGCGAGACACCCC